RNAcentral lists this ribosomal RNA (253 nucleotides) under uncultured bacterium. RNAcentral describes it as "partial 16S ribosomal RNA". It matches the Rfam family "Bacterial small subunit ribosomal RNA", at positions 524 to 776 of the family's 1533-position model. The record is from RNAcentral.
UACGUAGGCAGCGAGCGUUGUUCGGAAUUACUGGGCGUAAAGAGUGUGUAGGCGGUGCUCCAAGUCUGUUGUGAAAUCUCCCGGCUUAACUGGGAGGGUGCGGCGGAAACUGGAGUGCUCGAGUGUGGGAGAGGUAAGCGGAAUUCCUGGUGUAGCGGUGAAAUGCGUAGAUAUCAGGAGGAACACCUGUGGUGUAGACAGCUUACUGGACCACGACGGACGCUGAGACACGAAAGCGUGGGUAGAAAACAGG